CCCUUAGAUGUUCUGGGCUGCACACGUGCCACACUGGCAGGUUCAGCGAGCUUCAUGCCCUGAUCUGAACGGAAUGGGAAAUCUUUUCAAAACCUGCCGUGCUUGGGAUAGAUGUUUGCAAUUAUUCAUCUUCAACGAGGAUUGCCUUGUAAGCGCACGUCAUCAGCGUGCAUUGAAUACGACCCUGUAUUCUGUACACACCGCCCGUCGCUCCUACCGAUUGAGUGGUCCGGUGAGGCUUUGGGAUCUGAGCGGAAAGAGCGUUUCGCUGUUUCUGCUCGGAAAACUCAGUCGAACCUUAUCAUUUAGAGGAAGGAGAAGUCGUAACA
RNAcentral lists this ribosomal RNA (329 nucleotides) under uncultured eukaryote. RNAcentral's name for it is "partial 18S ribosomal RNA". It matches the Rfam family "Eukaryotic small subunit ribosomal RNA", at positions 1470 to 1796 of the family's 1831-position model. The record is from RNAcentral.